RNAcentral lists this ribosomal RNA (273 nucleotides) under uncultured bacterium. Its description in RNAcentral is "partial 16S ribosomal RNA". It matches the Rfam family "Bacterial small subunit ribosomal RNA", at positions 524 to 796 of the family's 1533-position model. The record is from RNAcentral.
UACGUAGGGUGCAAGCGUUAAUCGGAAUUACUGGGCGUAAAGCGUGCGCAGGCGGCUAUGCAAGACAGAUGUGAAAUCCCCGGGCUCAACCUGGGAACUGCAUUUGUGACUGCAUGGCUAGAGUGCGGCAGAGGGGGAUGGAAUUCCGCGUGUAGCAGUGAAAUGCGUAGAUAUGCGGAGGAACACCGAUGGCGAAGGCAAUCCCCUGGGCCUGCACUGACGCUCAUGCACGAAAGCGUGGGGAGCAAACAGGAUUAGAAACCCCCGUAGUCC